AAUACAGCUUCAGUCGUCAGCCCUGCUCCGGACUCUGAAGCAGCCCAACCUGCUGGAAACGGAACCGAAACACCAAAAGAUGAGGUGAAGGAUGAGGCACCAAAAGAAGG
Molecule: small RNA, 110 nt
Filed under: Caenorhabditis elegans
Lineage: Eukaryota; Metazoa; Nematoda; Chromadorea; Rhabditida; Rhabditidae
Description: Unclassified non-coding RNA ZK484.15
Source: RNAcentral